GAGCUGAGGGUAGGGGUGAAAGGCUAAUCAAACUUGGAGAUAGCUCGUACUCCCCGAAAUGCAUUUAGGUGCAGCCUUGCGGGUUACUGAUGUGAGGUAGAGCGACUGAUAAGAUGCGAGGGCUUCACCGCCUAUCAAGUCUUGACAAACUCCGAAUGCGCAUCAGUUCUACCGCAGGAGUGAGGGCAUGGGUGCUAAGGUCCGUGCCCGAGAGGAGAAGAAUCCGGACCACCUGCUAAGGUCCCGAAAUGACAGCUAAGUUAAACUAACGAAGUCUGACUGCUAAGACAGCUAGGAUGUUGGCUUGGAAGCAGCCAUUCAUUUAAAGAGUGCGUAACAGCUCACUAGUCGAGGAGUCGGGCGUGGAUAAUAAUCGGGUAUCAAGUUGUCUACCGAAGCAGUGGGAUCAUUUAUAUGAUCGGUAGGGGAGCAUUCCAGUCAGCGUCGAAGGCGUACCGUGAGGUAUUCUGGAGCGUCUGGAAAAGCAAAUGUAGGUAUAAGUAACGAUAAAGGGGGCGGGAAACCCCCUCGCCGAAAGACUAAGGUUUCCUGAUCAACGCUAAUCGGAUCAGGGUCAGUCGGGUCCUAAGGCUCAGCCGAACGGCGAUGCCGAUGGCAGAAACGGUUAAUAUUCCGUUACUACCUUCAGGAGUGACGUGGAGACGCAGUAGUGACAGUGCCGCCAUCUGACGGAAUAGAUGGUUGAAGGGUGUAGGAGUCGAUCAUGGCAGGCAAAUCCACCAUGAGAUCCGAACCUGAUAGUAUGCCGCGUCCUUCGGGACAAGGCAAUAGUGCGCGUAAGCAUGCUGCCGAGAAAAUCCGCUAAACUUAAUCCUGCAGGUACCCGUACCGCAAACGGACACACGUAGUCGGGAUGAAUAUUCUAAGGCGCUUGAGUGAUUCACGGUUAAGGAACUAGGCAAACUGACCCUGUAACUUCGGGAUAAAGGGUCCCUACCCUUUUAUGGGAGGGCGCAGAGAAUCGGUCCAGGCAACUGUUUAACAAAAACACAGGGCUGUGCCAAAUCGAAAGAUCCAGUAUACAGCCUGACACCUGCCCGGUGCUGGAAGGUUAAGAGGAGAUGUCAUCGAUAAGAGAAGCGUUGAAUUGAAGCCCCAGUAAACGGCGGCCGUAACUAUAACGGUCCUAAGGUAGCGAAAUUCCUUGUCGGGUAAGUUCCGACCUGCACGAAUGGUGUAAUGAUCCGGACGCUGUCUCAACCGUGAGCUCAGUGAAAUUGUAGUAUCGGUGAAGAUGCCGAUUACCCGCGAUGGGACGAAAAGACCCCGUGAACCUUUACUAUAGCUUAUCAUUGAAUCUGGGCACGUGAUGUGUAGGAUAGGUCGGAGGCUUUGAAGCAGGUACGCCAGUAUUUGUGGAGCCGCUGUUGAAAUACGACCCUUUAUUUGUUUGGAUUCUAACCCGUGGAACGGGGACAUUGAUUGGUGGGUAGUUUGACUGGGGUGGUCGCCUCCAAAAGCGUAACGGAGGCUUCUAAAGGUGCCCUCCGGCCGAUUGGUAACCGGCCUUAGAGUGUAAUGGCAUAAGGGCGCUUGACUGGGAGACUGACAAGUCGAUCAGGUAGGAAACUAGAGCAUAGUGAUCCGGUGUUUCCGUAUGGAAGGGACAUCGCUCAAAGGAUAAAAGGUACUCCGGGGAUAACAGGCUGAUCCCUCCCAAGAGCUCAUAUCGACGGAGUGGUUUGGCACCUCGAUGUCGGCUCGUCACAUCCUGGGGCUGGAGAAGGUCCCAAGGGUUGGGCUGUUCGCCCAUUAAAGUGGCACGCGAGCUGGGUUCAGAACGUCGUGAGACAGUUCGGUCUCUAUCUAUCGUGGGCGCAUGAAAUUUGCGUGGCUCUGACACUAGUACGAGAGGACCGUGUUGGACAGACCUCUGGUUUGCCGGUUGUGCCGCCAGGUGCAUUGCCGGGUAUCUAAGUCUGGAUCGGAUAAGUGCUGAAAGCAUCUAAGUACGAAGCCGGCCACAAGAUUAGAUUUCUCAGGGUCGUUGUAGACUACGACGUUGAUAGGAUGCAGGUGUAAAGAUGGAGACAUCAAAGCCGAGCAUUACUAAUUGCCCGUCCACUUUCCUUA
RNAcentral lists this ribosomal RNA (2094 nucleotides) under human gut metagenome. Its description in RNAcentral is "bacterial LSU rRNA". It matches the Rfam family "Bacterial large subunit ribosomal RNA", at positions 806 to 2925 of the family's 2925-position model. The record is from RNAcentral.